AAUAAAAUACAGUUAAAUCUUGAUGAGCCACGCAAAGUAUUGGAAUAUAGAGCGACGUUUAUGAGCUUUACAAUAAAAAAAAUAUAAAAGCGCGAGGGAUAAUAAUAUUUAAUCUAGUAACGGGAGUAAUAGGGCUCGGAGCGCUUGCAGAAAUCAUUUAGUCUAUAAAAUUUUAAAAGAUACUGAUUCAACUUCUCAAUACACCAGAGCGGGACCAAUUUGACGAGGGCAUUAAACAUUCAUAUUUUCAUUAGGUAAAGCAAACUACUCGUGAUCACGAGCUUUUUAAUCUACCAUUCAUAGUUUUGUCCAGCUCAGGCUGCUCUGCCAUUCAUCUUAUCGGUUAUUAUUUAUUUUU
This is a long non-coding RNA of Microplitis mediator, 358 nucleotides long. RefSeq lists it as uncharacterized. The record is from RefSeq and is a predicted model, not a curated record. NCBI's taxonomy places the organism in Eukaryota, Metazoa, Arthropoda, Insecta, Hymenoptera, Braconidae. The transcript is spliced from 2 exons.